GACGAACGCUGGCGGCGCGCUUAACACAUGCAAGUCGAGCGAGAACCAGACCUUCGGGUCUGGGGACAGCGGCGAACGGGUGAGUAACACGUGGGUAAUCAACCCUCGGUACUGGGAUAGCCCGGGGAAACCCGGAUUAAUACCGGAUGGCCCUUCGGAUCUUCGGUUCCGAAGGAAAAGGUAGCUUCGGCCUCCGACCGAGGACGAGCCCGCGGCGGAUUAGCUUGUUGGUGGGGUAACGGCCUACCAAGGCGGCGAUCCGUAGCUGGUCUGAGAGGACGAUCAGCCACACUGGGACUGAGACACGGCCCAGACUUCUACGGAAGGCAGCAGUGGGGAAUCUUGCGCUAAUGCGGGAAACCGUGACGCAGCGACGCCGCGUGAGGGAAGAAGGCCUUCGGGUUGUAAACCUCUUUCAGAAGGGACGAAGCUACUCGGGUUAAUAGCCCAGAGGGUGACGGUACCUUCAGAAGAAGCCCCGGCUAACUACGUGCCAGCCGCCGCGGUAA
Molecule: ribosomal RNA, 509 nt
Filed under: uncultured bacterium
Lineage: Bacteria
Description: partial 16S ribosomal RNA
Rfam family: Bacterial small subunit ribosomal RNA
Source: RNAcentral